CUACGGGCUGCUGCAGUCGAGAAUCUUCCGCAAUGGGCGCAAGCCUGACGGAGCAAUGCCGCGUGAGGGAUGACGGCCCUAGGGUUGUAAACCUCUGUCAGAAGGGACGAAGAACGUGACGGUACCUUCAGAGGAAGCCAUGGCUAACUACGUGCCAGCAGCCGCGGUAAUACGUAGAUGGCGAGCGUUAUUCGGAUUUACUGGGCGUAAAGGGUCCGUAGGGGGUCUGCCAAGUCUGAUGUGAAAUCCUGCGGCUCAACCGCGGAACUGCCUUGGAAACUGGCGGACUAGCGUGUGCGAGGGGUGAGCGGAAUUCCUGGUGUAGCGGUGGAAUGCGUAGAUAUCAGGAAGAACACCGAUGGCGAAGGCGGCUCACUGGCGCAUCACUGACCCUGAGGGACGAAAGCGUGGGUAGCAAACAGGAUUAGAUACCCUGGUAGUC
Molecule: ribosomal RNA, 442 nt
Filed under: uncultured bacterium
Lineage: Bacteria
Description: partial 16S ribosomal RNA
Rfam family: Bacterial small subunit ribosomal RNA
Source: RNAcentral